AACGAACGCUGGCGGCAUGCCUAACACAUGCCAGUCGAACGAGACCUUCGGGUCUAGUGGCGCACGGGUGCGUAACGCGUGGGAACCUGCCCUUAGGUUCGGAAUAACUCCCCGAAAGGGGUGCUAAUACCGGAUAAUGUCUUCGGACCAAAGAUUUAUCGCCUUUGGAUGGGCCCGCGUUGGAUUAGCUGGUUGGUAGGGUAAAAGCCUACCAAGGCGACGAUCCAUAGCUGGUCUGAGAGGAUGAUCAGCCACACUGGGACUGAGACACGGCCCAGAAUCCUACGGGAGGCAGCAGUGGGGAAUAUUGGACAAUGGGCGAAAGGCUGAUCCAGCAAUGCCGCGUGAGUGAUGAAGGCCGUAGGGUUGUAAAGCUCUUUUACCCGGGAUGAUAAUGACAGUACCGGGAGAAUAAGCUCCGGCUAACUCCGUG
RNAcentral lists this ribosomal RNA (433 nucleotides) under uncultured bacterium. RNAcentral describes it as "partial 16S ribosomal RNA". It matches the Rfam family "Bacterial small subunit ribosomal RNA", at positions 29 to 507 of the family's 1533-position model. The record is from RNAcentral.